AAGAGAAAUCAAAAAGCUCGAGCAAAGAAGUUAAUAAAUCAAAGAACAGGAAAGACGUCAUUUUCACAAGUUAAAGAAAAAUUGACAAAGGAACACGGACGAUGCCCAACCCGUGUUUAACUUUUUAGUUCCUGUUUUGUUCCUUCGAGUGGAAACGCGAGUGAUGACUUAUCAACUAAAAUUGCAGCAAUGGUCGAACGUAGUAGCCAACUUCCCGAAGGUGUCGAAGAUCAAAUUGCUCCAAAUGACAUAUUUUCCCAAAUCAUGGGAAAUGACAAACCAGGUCACGUAAGGAUGAUGGGUAAGGGAGUGUGUCCCACAGACGUGUGGAGUGGAACACCAAGAAGUACAUCAGACCGUUUGCUAAUAGAGUACAAAGAUAAAAUUGCACGACUAGAAGCAAUGCUUGCCGCAAAACAAAGACCUCGAGCUUUGCAAGCAGACAUAAGGCCAGAUGUGACAAAUUCUGAGUCUCUCUCAUCACAGGCUACAACUCAAGUUGAUCUGGUAUCUUUGUUUUUUUUUUCUAUAAUUUUGAAAUAUAUUACAUAUUAAAAAUGGUUAUUAAUCUAUUUGUUUUCUUGGAGGUUGGGACAUAUGUUUCUCUAAGGAGUUUUCUCACCUAAAAAGUUGUUGCUAAGGGAUUUAUUUAUAGCCUUGAUCCAACUACAAGAGUUGGCGGACACAUGUUAGGAUUGAAUUGGUGUGAGAUAUGUGCCGUAGCCAUGAUUGAACCCAAGGAGCAAUUGAUCAGGCCCUAUGAUAACUUUCAAGAGCUUUCCCUAGUACUUGGUCAUAUAAUUGAUUGGCCUAUAGCUUUGGUAUAUUCUAUCAUUUAUAACUUAUAAUUAACAAUGCAUUUCAGUUUGAUUCAUAAUUCACACACGUCCUAUACAUGCAGGUGACACCCACUGAGUGACAUCCAUUGGAUGUUUAUAAUUUCUCGAUCCACAUUUAGAUGACAGUACUCUAAAUUUGAUUACUAAUUAUACUGUUUGAACUACUUGUCUUGAUUUAUACUACUACUUUUUAGUGGACAUUUGCAUUCUCUUUGUGUGUGGACUUACUAUUAUUGCAUUCAAUUUCAGUUGGACAUCUGUAUUUUAAUUCACUAGAUAGAGCUCUACAUGUAUUGUUUUUGUCUGGCCUUUGU
Salvia splendens (bonfire salvia) is the source of this 1153-nucleotide long non-coding RNA. RefSeq lists it as uncharacterized. NCBI's taxonomy places the organism in Eukaryota, Viridiplantae, Streptophyta, Magnoliopsida, Lamiales, Lamiaceae. The record is from RefSeq and is a predicted model, not a curated record. The transcript is spliced from 3 exons.